RNAcentral lists this long non-coding RNA (1425 nucleotides) under Bos indicus x Bos taurus (hybrid cattle). RNAcentral describes it as "lncRNA (ENSBIXG00005020513.1)". The record is from RNAcentral. Lineage: Eukaryota; Metazoa; Chordata; Mammalia; Artiodactyla; Bovidae.
GUCAACUAUGAUAUGAAAUAAAUUUAAUAUGCAUUGAUGUCUUACAGAAUCACUUUUAUGAGUUAAAUACCAUGCAAAUUACUAAAGAAUUCUGUGUAUCUGUGGAUGAUUCAAAUGAAAAUAUUUGUUUACCUGUGAAAGGAAAAUAUGUAUCACAUAAAAUAUAAAGAUUUAAUGUUAUAAACAUUGUAUGUAUAAUCAAUAUAUUUUGCCCAUCACACUUUUAUUACAAAAUCAGAAUUUAUAAACCAUAUUCAUUUCCUUAAAAAAUGGCUUUAAAAAGCACCUGGAAAUUUUUUAGGCACAAGAUUUAUUUUAAAAACAUACAAUUUGUUCCUAAUCUGCAGAAAGAAGUUUCGUAAGAUUACUAAUCACUAGGAUUUGCUUUUUCUGUAGCAGCCACAGGAGAGGACGAUACAAUAGGUCUUCGGAAAAGGUCAGGCGGGACCCACUGUGUACUUGUUCUUUCUUUCAUUUUCAAGCUUCUCUCCCUUCCUAUGCCUUUGGAGUAACUUCUGCUCACCAGUGAAUAUAUUUUGUUCCAUGGGAUUUAUGAAAUUUCUAACCUUUCUUUGUGUUCUGCACUGCCUUGUCCAUUUCAUCAUCACCUUCCUGUCAUUUACCACCUUGAAGCAGAUUCUUUACUAUUGAGCCACCAGGGAAACCAUAAAUAAACAAAAAAACAACUUAGCUCAGCAAAGCACAUUAUAGCAAAGUGAUCUGUUAUUAUAUAGCGUGACUAAAAAUGGGCAAUCAUGAAAAACAUUCUUUUAAAAUAUAAAUUAUUAUUUGAAUGCUUACAGCCUUUAAACUUUCAAAGAAAUUAUCUUCAGUUAUACCAUGUACAGUUGAUAUGAGGAGUUCAAGAAAUAGUAAUGGAUAUAGAGACUUCACACAAUGUAUUGUUUUUCAGUCACUAAGUCCCUACUCUUUGCAGCCCCCUGGACCGCAGCACACCAGGCCUCCUUGUUCAUCACCAACUCCCGGAGUUCACUCAAACUCAUGUCCAUUGAGUCGGUGAUGCCAUCCAGCCAUCUCAUCCUCUGCCGUCCCCUUCUCCUGCCUUCAAUCUUUCCCAACAUCAGGGUCUUUUCCAAUGAAUCAGCUCUUCGUACCACACAGUGUAUACAGCACAAGGUCUGGCAGAGAGCGUGGCCAGAAGCGGACCGUGGCCUUCUACCCUGGGGCCCUCCAGGCCCUCCAGCCUCUGGUCGGUCGGUGAACCGCGGGCCCCGGGUCAGUCGUGGUGUGCUCUGCAGGGCGGUAGCCGAGGCCCCGGUCGGCGGGGCCCAGGACCGGAAGCAGCCGCGAACCUCUCCUCACCCCAACCCGCACCCCCGCGACCUAAUGGCGGCGGCCCCUCCGAGCCCGGAUCUGCCGACCGCUGGGUCUCCACCCUGCGCUGCAGGGCUUGGCCUCAGGUGA